GGCCAAACAGUGGGGCUGGACACAGGGU
RNAcentral lists this non-coding RNA (28 nucleotides) under Cricetulus griseus (Chinese hamster). Lineage: Eukaryota; Metazoa; Chordata; Mammalia; Rodentia; Cricetidae. The record is from RNAcentral.